UAUUCUGCCCCACGGGGAAGGAUGAGAAGCUUCGACCAAGGUUCGACUCGAGCGAAGCGAGAGAACGUUGCCGCAGGCAACGGCCCGAAGCGAAGCGCUUUAGCGCCGAGUAAUCCUUCCCCACCACUG
RNAcentral lists this small RNA (129 nucleotides) under Klebsiella pneumoniae. RNAcentral's name for it is "RtT sRNA". It matches the Rfam family "RtT RNA". Rfam says of the family: This family represents a bacterial cis-regulatory element known as RtT RNA. The exact function of RtT is unknown although it is thought that it may be involved in changing the cellular response in relation to amino acid starvation. The record is from RNAcentral. Lineage: Bacteria; Pseudomonadati; Pseudomonadota; Gammaproteobacteria; Enterobacterales; Enterobacteriaceae.